Molecule: ribosomal RNA, 183 nt
Filed under: uncultured bacterium
Lineage: Bacteria
Description: partial 16S ribosomal RNA
Rfam family: Bacterial small subunit ribosomal RNA
Source: RNAcentral
CCUACGGGAGGCAGCAGUGGGGGAUAUUGCACAAUGGGCGAAAGCCUGAUGCAGCGACGCCGCGUGAGUGAAGAAGUAUUUCGGUAUGUAAAGCUCUAUCAGCAGGGAAGAAAGACCCGCAAGGGAGAUGACGGUACCUGACUAAGAAGCCCCGGCUAACUACGUGCCAGCAGCCGCGGUAAU